This 303-nucleotide long non-coding RNA is filed under the name Elaeis guineensis (African oil palm). RNAcentral's name for it is "long non-coding RNA (EGUI_LNC017363)". Lineage: Eukaryota; Viridiplantae; Streptophyta; Magnoliopsida; Arecales; Arecaceae. The record is from RNAcentral.
CUUAAUGGCACCUCUACUGGCUUCGAAUUUGAUUCACCAAUCAAAUCCAAUUCUAUGUAUGUCGGUCCUUUCAUCUCAUGAACUUUAUCAAGUUCAAUUUUACAGAUAUUAGUUCCUUCAUCAAAGAACUUUUUCAAAAAGACUGCCCGACUGCUGACAAACACCUUUUAUUCUGCAGUGAGAUAGAAGUAGUAUCUUUUAGUUUUCUUUGGAUACCCUAAGAACAAGCAUCUAUUAGACUUCGGUCCAAGCUUAUCUGUCUUUAAAUACGUGACAUAAGCUGAACACCUUUAGACUCUAAGG